CCUACGGGAGGCAGCAGUGAGGAAUAUUGGUCAAUGGCCGGGAGGCUGAACCAGCCAAGUAGCGUGCGGGAAGACGGCCCUACGGGUUGUAAACCUCUUUUAUCUGGGAGCAAGGUGCCUGUCGUGUCCUGCUGUGAGUGUACCGGAAGAAAAAGCAUCGGCUAAUUCCGUGCCAGCAGCCGCGGUAAUACGGAGGGUGCGAGCGUUAUCCGGAUUUAUUGGGUUUAAAGGGUGCGCAGGCGGGAGCUCAAGUGUGCUGUGAAAUGUCGGGGCUCAACCCCUGCCGUGCAGUGCGAAUGGGCGUGCUUGAGUCCGCGAAGAGCAGGCGGAAUGCGUGGGGUAGCGGUGAAAUGCUUAGAUAUGACGAAGAACCGGGAUUGCGAAGGCAGCUUGCUGCAGCGGAACUGACGCUGAUGCUCGAAGGCGGGGGUAUCGAACAGGAUUAGAUACCCUUGUAGUC
This 460-nucleotide ribosomal RNA is filed under the name uncultured bacterium. Its description in RNAcentral is "partial 16S ribosomal RNA". It matches the Rfam family "Bacterial small subunit ribosomal RNA", at positions 338 to 795 of the family's 1533-position model. The record is from RNAcentral.